UGAGUAACCUGCCCUUCACUCUGGGAUAACUCCGGGAAACCGGGGCUAAUACUGGAUACGACCUACUCGGGCAUCCGAUGUGGGUGGAAAGAUUUAUUGGUGAGGGAUGGACUCGCGGCCUAUCAGCUCGUUGGUGAGGUAAUGGCUCACCAAGGCGACGACGGGUAGCCGGCCUGAGAGGGCGAUCGGCCACACUGGGACUGAGACACGGCCCAGACUCCUACGGGAGGCA
RNAcentral lists this ribosomal RNA (232 nucleotides) under uncultured bacterium. Its description in RNAcentral is "partial 16S ribosomal RNA". It matches the Rfam family "Bacterial small subunit ribosomal RNA", at positions 118 to 350 of the family's 1533-position model. The record is from RNAcentral.